This 87-nucleotide transfer RNA is filed under the name Chitinophagaceae bacterium. Its description in RNAcentral is "tRNA-Leu". It matches the Rfam family "tRNA". Rfam says of the family: Transfer RNA (tRNA) molecules are approximately 80 nucleotides in length. Their secondary structure includes four short double-helical elements and three loops (D, anti-codon, and T loops). RNAcentral also lists the same sequence under 2 other names. Lineage: Bacteria; Pseudomonadati; Bacteroidota; Chitinophagia; Chitinophagales; Chitinophagaceae. The record is from RNAcentral.
GCCCAUGUGGCGGAAUUGGUAGACGCAGCAGACUCAAAAUCUGCCGUUCGCAAGGGCGUGAAGGUUCGAUUCCUUUCGUGGGCACCA